UUGGAGAUUAUAUGAGGGAACAAAGGUUAAUAAAGGUAAGGGGGGGACAUGAAACUAUUAAAUUUAAGAUUAAGAAAAGAAGAAUGCAUAUCACAAGGUGAAAGUCUUGGGUCUAGAUCACUAUCUUGAAUAUUAAAGAUCUCACAAUAAGUUCAAAAUAGAUCGGAGACGAGAUAAAAGAUAAAAUAAAAGACUAGAGGUUCUCAAGGCCGCGUAAGUUCGAGUUUGGACAGUAAGUGUAGUUAUGUUAAAGAGGCUAACAGACGAAUGGUUAUUAAACAUCAUUUCUUCUCUCGUCUGCGCUUACAAUCCUAACUUAUGGUUUUGACCAGGAAGAGAAGCAUCUAAUGUUUUUUUUUUUUUAUAGUAUCUAAGAAGCUACAAUAAUGGUUUUUGUAUGGUCAGUUCUAAAAUUCGAUAAAAAAAAGUAUGGUCAGUUCUAAUAAGUCAGCGGUAGCUCAAUCAUAUUGAAGUCAUAAGAUGUGUCUGCGUUAAGGUGGGGAUGUCGAGUAUGGGUUCAGAAGUUUGAAGGGUGUUUCCUAAGGUCAAACCCCACAUGACACCCAUAUCUAAACUUACAAAAAGGGGGAAAAUGCAGUGAACUAGACAUCGUACAUGUGAUACAGUUAUCAUCAAGUGUCUUCAUCUCUUAGUAGUUAGUACUAAAUAAAAUGUUUCUGUAACUCCACUGCACAGGUUCCAUAUCUACCCAUUUCUUAUUUUUACUUGGGUGGCUGUAAUCUUUAUAUAUUAUGACAAAGAUAUGUAGCUACUAGUUUGAGCUGAUAUUGAUGAUAUGUUGUUAUCAAAUUCAAAUACGAUAGAAUUCAUAUAUAUUUGAACUAAAUAGCUGUCAUCCGGUACGCGUGCUUUUACGCGGCAUCCUUCGUUUCUUCUUGGCUUCUGGAAAUUUUCUCAAUAACUGUAGAUCGUGAUGAUAUGCAAAUAUGGAGUCAAGCUUAGAACUCUCAAAGAUGAAUUUAAAAUGAAUCCAUGUAUGCAGAUGCAUUAUUAUUAGGAUAAAAACAUCUUUUAACUUUU
This 1041-nucleotide long non-coding RNA is filed under the name Brassica napus (rape). Its description in RNAcentral is "long non-coding RNA (BNAP_LNC001134)". Lineage: Eukaryota; Viridiplantae; Streptophyta; Magnoliopsida; Brassicales; Brassicaceae. The record is from RNAcentral.